RNAcentral lists this unclassified non-coding RNA (2201 nucleotides) under Anthonomus grandis grandis. RNAcentral's name for it is "cOP9 signalosome complex subunit 2". Lineage: Eukaryota; Metazoa; Arthropoda; Insecta; Coleoptera; Curculionidae. The record is from RNAcentral.
UAAAAUAUGGUAUUUUUUUACCUAUUCAGAUGAUAAUAAUGCCUGAAUGACCUGUCAAAUAAAGUUAUUUUUGAUCUGUUUGUGUUUAACCCGGCAAUGAUUUGACAGGUCUGUUUCGACAAGGCAUCUGUGGCUUGGCUAAAGACAGUUAAAGAAAAACUUAAUUUGUUUGGGAAAAUUAUUAAAAUACCAUCUUUCCUAGUUGUAGGGCGUAAUUGGAAAAAUGUCCGACGACGAUUUUAUGUGCGAUGAUGAAGAGGACUAUGGUCUGGAAUACUCUGAAGACAGCAACUCCGAACCAGAUGUAGACUUGGAGAACCAGUACUAUAACAGCAAAGCCCUUAAAGAAGAGGAGCCAAAAGCUGCUCUAUCAUCAUUUCAGAAAGUACUAGACCUAGAAGGAGGAGAGAAAGGGGAAUGGGGCUUUAAAGCUCUGAAACAGAUGAUUAAAAUUAAUUUUCGUUUAUGUAAUUAUGAUGAAAUGAUGGUGAGGUACAAACAGCUUCUGACUUAUAUAAAAAGUGCUGUCACUAGAAACCAUAGUGAAAAAUCUAUUAAUUCAAUAUUGGAUUAUAUCUCUACAUCAAGAAAUAUGGAGUUACUUCAAAAUUUUUAUGAAACAACUUUAGAAGCACUAAAGGAUGCAAAAAAUGAUCGGCUGUGGUUUAAGACAAAUACUAAACUAGGCAAACUGUACUAUGAUAGAGGAGAUUUUAAUAAAUUGGCCAAAAUACUUAAGCAGCUGCAUCAGUCAUGCCAAACGGAUGAUGGAGAAGAUGAUCUGAAGAAAGGCACCCAAUUGCUUGAGAUUUAUGCUCUAGAAAUUCAAAUGUACACUGCUCAGAAGAACAAUAAGAAAUUGAAGACAUUGUAUGAGCAGUCCUUACAUAUAAAGUCUGCUAUACCUCAUCCAUUAAUCAUGGGAGUUAUAAGAGAAUGUGGGGGCAAAAUGCACCUUCGAGAGGGUGAGUUUGAGAAAGCACAUACAGAUUUUUUUGAGGCAUUUAAAAAUUAUGAUGAAUCAGGCAGUCCCAGGAGAACAACUUGUUUAAAAUAUUUGGUUUUAGCUAAUAUGCUAAUGAAGUCUGGGAUAAAUCCAUUUGAUUCUCAAGAAGCCAAGCCAUACAAAAAUGACCCUGAAAUCUUAGCAAUGACGAAUUUAGUAACUGCUUAUCAAAACAAUGACAUUAAUGAAUUUGAGUAUAUUCUGAAGCAAAACAGACAAAACAUUAUGGAUGAUCCGUUUAUCAGAGAGCAUAUUGAAGACUUGUUGAGAAAUAUUAGAACCCAAGUCCUAAUAAAGCUAAUCAAGCCUUAUACUAGAAUACAAAUUCCAUUUAUAUCGACAGAACUGAAUAUUGAUGUUCAAGAAGUAGAAAGCUUACUUGUUGCAUGUAUAUUAGAUAACACUAUUCAAGGUAGAAUCGAUCAAGUAAACCAAGUCCUAUUCUUAGAAAGAACAACUAUUAAUACAGCUAGAGAGACAUCACCAUACAAGAGCCUAAAGAGUAUUUUCCAGCAGUUCAAUUCCAUGUCUCUUUAAUAACGUGUUCGUAAUGAUGUCAUAGCAAACGAUAUUUUAAAAACGCAAGCGGUUUCCACCAUAGCCAUAAUACUUGUUCCCAGAUUUCCCCAAUCAUAUCCAGUUCACGCUUUCCGAAUGCUAAGCACUGUUUUGGAAACAUCAUCCUACUUUUUUUCAAAUAUAGUAAAAAAUACGAGGUUUGGAAAAAAGUUAAUGUUAAGCAGUAUUGAAAACAACCGGCUGUACUGGGCAUUUUUUUAAAAAUACCACUGUCAAAACAAAAGGGUGGGUUCUUUUUGAAAAGAAAGUUUUUAUAUUUGUUUUUUUUUAAAUUACGCAAAUUACUUAAAGAAUCACUCACUAACUGCCACUUAAGCAAAAAAAUUUAAAAAGGCUAAAGUGGUAGAAAAAUAUUUUACUGUGGCAUCAUCUCUCACCAAAAAGCUGCUUUUUUUUAUGAACUAAAUAUGUUUUAUGAUAUAAAGAAUCACCUUAAGUGAGGUUUUUCUUUAUAGGUGUUUUAGGUUUUUCUUUAUAGGUGAUUCUUUAUAUUCACUCAUCUGAAUGAUGUUUUUUUGCAUGUUUUUUCGUUUAAAACAUGUUUUAUGUCUUCUUAUCUAAGAAGUUAUUUUUUUGUGUAUUUAACUUUUUAUUCAAUAAAAUUCUUUUAUUAUGA